GCACCGGUGGUGUAUGGCACACACACCAAUCAAGUAAAAUGGAGCAGGCUGACUAAUGGUGAGCCGGGGUUCGAUUCCCCGCCGGUGCA
Mycena leptocephala is the source of this 89-nucleotide non-coding RNA. The record is from the annotation of a GenBank genome assembly. NCBI's taxonomy places the organism in Eukaryota, Fungi, Basidiomycota, Agaricomycetes, Agaricales, Mycenaceae.